RNAcentral lists this ribosomal RNA (301 nucleotides) under uncultured bacterium. RNAcentral describes it as "partial 16S ribosomal RNA". It matches the Rfam family "Bacterial small subunit ribosomal RNA", at positions 509 to 808 of the family's 1533-position model. The record is from RNAcentral.
CAGUCGCCGCGGUAAUACGAAGGGUGCAAGCGUUAAUCGGAAUUACUGGGCGUAAAGCGUGCGGAGGCGGUUUGUUAAGUCUGUUGUGAAAUCCCCGGGCUCAACCUGGGAAUGGCAAUGGAUACUGGCAAGCUAGAGUGCGUCAGAGGAUGGUGGAAUUCCCGGUGUAGCGGUGAAAUGCGUAGAGAUCGGGAGGAACAUCAGUGGCGAAGGCGGCCAUCUGGGACAACACUGACGCUGAGGCACGAAAGCGUGGGGAGCAAACAGGAUUAGAUACCCCGGGUAGUCCCUGUCUCUUAUU